UGUCACCUCAGUGCGCGCAUGACGUGCCCAGCGGCCCAGGCCAGCCUAGAUAUGCGUGUGUGUGUGUGGGAUUUUCUGCCUCCUCCACAUGAUGACCUCUGUGCGCAUGUGCUCACAGAGCGGGCUCUGAGUGCCACCUCUGGCAAGCGUGACAUAGGUUCGCCACCACUGCUAUAAAUCCUUUUACAGCAUUUUAA
Molecule: long non-coding RNA, 197 nt
Organism: Sphaerodactylus townsendi
Lineage: Eukaryota; Metazoa; Chordata; Lepidosauria; Squamata; Sphaerodactylidae
Exons: 4
Source: RefSeq, a predicted model, not a curated record